GUACACAACUUUAUGUCUUCUGACUGAUGAUUUCUUACUCUUCGGAAAUUUGACAUGCUAUUAUUUACACAUGCUGUUGGAAGAUUGACAGUAGGUGCAUUUGUUAACCUUCUUAAGCUGAGCGACUUGUUAAAAAUAGAUUUUCUCUUUUAAUCAUUCACGUGACUCUAGUCACUCCUGUUGUUCAAAUAGAGCCACCGAUGCAUUCGAUUAGAAGAGAAAGAAAUAGUACACAACUUUAUGUCUUCUGACUGAUGAUUUCUUACUCUUCGGAAAUUUGACAUGCUAUUAUUUUUGUGAGUAUAAUCGGAUCCAUUGAAAUGCACUUUGAUUUUAAUGUUUUAACAAGGGCAUGCCACAAGAAAGCUCCAGUCCUUGUUUGUGAAAUUUUACUUUUUUCAAGGAGUACUUUUGCUCUGUAGAAUUUUAUCGGCCCAUGCCAUCAUGCUUUUAUGUUUACUGCAAUAAAGAAAGUCGUGUAAUCUUGUAAUUAGAGGAGAAAUAAAUUCUAAACUGCUGGUUAUGUAAAUAAUCAGGGCUAGCAUUUGGCAAGCAAGUUCUCACACUUAUGCGGAUUGUAAAAUAGUCUGAUUUCUCAUCCCAUGGUGAUUUGACGUGCUGUUUAUUUUGUGAGUGUACUCUGAUCUGUUGAAAUGCACUUCACUUUUCAUAUUUUAACAAGUACCAGUCACAAGAAAGCUCCAGGCUACCGUAGUAUCUGAAAAUAACUUAUCCAAGAACUAAUUUUUCUAUGUAGGAAUUUAUCUGCCCAUGACAUCACGUUCUUAAGCUGCAUUAAGGAAAGUUUUGUAAUACUGUAACCCUGUAGUUGCAGGCAGGAGAAGAUGGUGUCGGUGUCCUUCACAGCCGCCAAGUUCCUGGCGAUGGCAGGUGUGUCAUCCGUUAGCACUCUCUGCCUCGGGCCGGCUCAGCUUCUAGGCUCCAUCCUCGCGGUCUCCGCCGGAAACAAGGCCGCGUCCUCCGCCUCCCCACAGCCGGUUGUUUAUGAUAUAAGGCUGUGAAGAUUUGGCUAAUUGGGAUAAAAUUGCAACAGGAUGCUCUGCCAAAGCAUGCUAAUCAUGCCCUCCUUGGAUAUGACUUCAAGAAGGUCGAACUGUCGAAGCACUUGACAGGUUGACUAAAAUCAAGAUCUGGAAGCACCAUUUUUCUUGUGGCGCGACAGGUUCGCGGCUGAACAACCUUGGGAACAGGCGGAACUGCCAGCGAGCUGAGACAGAGCUGAGACGAGAAGGCGACGUUGCCAAGGAGAUGAGAAAGUGCUGCUGGCGAGAAGACGAUGUUGCCGGCGAGCUGUGCCGGAGCGGCCAGCGAGAAGCCUGGAAGUGCCCCGAGCGUGGAGGUGCUAGCAAUGGUCGUGGGCGUUGCCGGCGGUAUGGUGCUCUGCUCGGUGGGUGUUGAGCAUGCGUGGCGGCCGGCAUGGCGCUUCUGCUAGGGGCCUACGGCCGUCCUCCGUGAGGUUUGCCGAUGGAUUCCGGCGGCGGCGCGCAGAUGGAUUGGAUUCAGCUGGCUUGACGCUCGCUUGGAUCGAUUCGGUUCUGCUGGUUUGAGGCGCGCCCGUCGGAUGGAUUCAGUUCAGCUGGCUUGAGGCUCGCGCGCGGAUGGAUUCUGCAGGUGGCGGAGGUGAUGGCUGGGGCGUUGGGGGCGGAGGACGAGGACGCUGGGAUCUGGAUCGAGAUCCAUGAAGACGAAGCUCGGAUAGGGAACGAUGUUAGGCAGGGGUAGGGAUGUCUUUUCGCAGCUUUUUCACCUGGUCGGAAAAAUCCCAGAACGUCUUAUAUUUCUGAACGGAGGGAGUACUCAAUAUACUUGGUGGCUUACUAUGUUGAAGUUGUCAACAAGCACAAUGAUGGCAAACAAUAUGUGUGGGAGUCCAAAGCUGAUGGACCAUUUGCUAUCUCCGAGGAUACAUGGAAUGAACCCCUUGGCUGUGGAUCUGAUAUGUGUGGGAUUACCUGGAGAAAGGCAAGCUAAAGGCAGGGGUGGUUCUUGCAGAUUUUUCUUCACGCCGCUCUGGUCGGUCCAUCGUAUCCCUCGCUAUCUGCGGCAUUUUUGUUCCAGAUCUUGCAUAGGC
Molecule: long non-coding RNA, 2092 nt
Organism: Lolium rigidum
Lineage: Eukaryota; Viridiplantae; Streptophyta; Magnoliopsida; Poales; Poaceae
Exons: 5
Source: RefSeq, a predicted model, not a curated record